UGCGAGCCACUCAUUCUCUAUCCGCGCCAUCUGUUUCUAAGCAGAAGAUGCGGUACGCUCUGUCAUGCAUCUUUUGCGAAUAGACGUCCUCCAUACCUUUGUUCGCUUGUUCCGCUUGCGUUUUUGUCGAUAUUCUUUGUUCGCCCUCUCUUCCUCCCGAGCGAUGCGUGAUAGUUUCUGUGCAUUUCAGUGUGCCCGCAUCACAUGGGCCUUCUUCUUGUUCGGUGUCUUCUCCAUUAUGCCCUCAUACGCGUGUGUGUGUCUUCGGUGCCGGCAAUGCGUCUCGCCGCGCCUUUGCUCCUCUUGUUCUCCCCUUCCUUCGUUCAAAACGCUUGAGACAAGAUUCGGACGCCAGAUUCAGCGUUCGUGCGCCACCGCACGGACCAUGAACGUUCAGCAUGCGCAUGUGAACGUGGCAUUUUGUUGCGGACACCACGACACCCGUGGACAAGGCUGUGGAACUCCACGACUUUGCAACCGCCGGCACCAGGGCUGAUUCGCGGUCCUGUGCGGUAAGGUGCCCCGAUGCGCGUCAAGGAUACCGUGCAGUAUUCCGAAGUUGUGUUGUGCGAGCCUCCGCAGGCGGCGAUGGAAGCUGUGAGGUGCCUCUCCCAUCCCUUCCGCGACGUUGGAGAAGACCUGCCCCGCUCGGUCGCAGGUUCCCCUUGCUCUUUUGGAGUUUUGAAUGAGACACAUCUUGGAGGUAUAGGAGCAGCUACCAGCUUCCGCGAAGGGCCAGACCACUUCGCCGGCCCGCGUGAGGACGCAGCUUGCCCGAGUAUCGGGAGGUGUUUCUGUGUAGCGACCGUGUCUAUUUGGCAGGCCGCGAGAACCAGCGGCACAUGCCAUUUCUCACUAUCACGUACAUUGAGGCCCGUUAGACGAGAGUGAUGCGCUGGUUUUCCGCCGCGCAGCCGCCGCGUCUCCUCGGCAUUCGUCACACAACUGCCAGUUGCCGGAGGCACGCUUUCUGCCUGCAAGAAAGGUGUUCGGGGAAGGGGUCGGGUGGGGGUGGGGACUGUAGAAGGGGAGACGCGACAAGCCUGGCAAAAUCCCCGACUGCACUGCAGCGGUGCAGCUGACGCUAUUCCGUGCCGGUCAUAGCGGUGCCCGGGAUCUCUCCACUGUUCGUGGAGGCCCGGUUCUGGAGGUUGUCCACCUUUGUAGCUACCGCUGGGUGAAGAGUCCAUCGACAGUGGAUAGAGCCGUUUGGCUGCUCAUGGCAGUCUUUGAGGGCGCCUCCAUUCUCUACACGAGACAGGCUCUGGUGGCGGUGCACCUUCGCCACUGAGACGGUGGUAAGACGGAUUCGACUUCUGCUCGGUUCGGCGCGCCUGCGAGAAGUCUUUUUAUUUGAAUUUCAUCAUUGACGGCGCCGUGUAUACACGCUUCACCAGCAGGUGAAUGGAGAUGGCCGACUUCCCCAUCUGCGAACAGGUGGUAGAUUUCUUUCUGCUUGGCGACUCCCCGCGACUCACUCUCGCCGAUCUCGCCUGGACAUCAAGUGAGAAGCAUCGUGUUUCUCAGCUGCAUCAGCUACGUUUUGCGUUCGUUAUCGUGCGCUUCUUCCGCAAAGGGGAGGGGCUCGACCGUCUGCGCCAUUGUCAGCCCCGGUGAACGAUGAAUUUGAAAGCGACAAAGGUAGGCGACAUCCCUCAUCUAUGCGCGCACUACCACGCAGAAGGUGCUGGACUGUCGCGGCUGCAGCGCUGUGACGGACCCCUCUCAUCUUGCGCGAAGCGCAGAGGUGGAGGUAGCGUGUCUACGCGACUGCGACGAAUCUGCGCUGGGACCGCUACAGUCCCUCGCCGGCAUUAGCGCCUCGGAGGUGCCAGGUACUCUCGCACAAACCUCCCCGUCAGCGUGCGACCGUUCUCCAUUUGCCCCCCCCCCCCGGAGACCGCGGCAACGCUGUAUGGGUGCCAAUCUCCACGACAGCAAACGAACGCUACCUUCACCCGACGAACCCUGCAUAUCGAGGGGUGGUAAUUCGUGUGCCUCCGCUUCGACAUGCUGUUCAAAGUCCGUCUACCUCAUGACCGAGACAUCUACCUAUCUCCCCGCGUUGGUCAUCUGACUACCCUUCUCCUCGUGUAUGUUUUUGCUCAAAUGCCCGCCGCUCGUCUCCACCCUCUGCCUUCUGCUUCUCUGAUUCUUUUUUUUCCCUCCUCCUCCAAG
This 2178-nucleotide unclassified non-coding RNA is filed under the name Leishmania donovani. RNAcentral describes it as "gene:unknown". Lineage: Eukaryota; Euglenozoa; Kinetoplastea; Trypanosomatida; Trypanosomatidae. The record is from RNAcentral.